GGAGGAAAGCAGGGGAUCGCAAGACCUUGUGCUUUAGGAGUGGCCGAUGUCUGAUUAGCUAGUUGGUAAGGUAAAAGCUUACCAAGGCGACGAUCAGUAGCUGGUCUGAGAGGACGAUCAGCCACACUGGGACUGAGACACGGCCCAGACUCCUACGGGAGGCAGCAGUGGGGAAUUUUGGACAAUGGGCGAAAGCCUGAUCCAGCAAUGCCGCGUGAGUGAAGAAGGCCUUCGGGUUGUAAAGCUCUUUCAGUCGAGAAGAAAAAGCUAUAUUAAAUAAAUAUAGCUAAUGACGGUAUCGAAAGAAGAAGCACCGGCUAACUACGUGCCAGCAGCCGCGGUAAUACGUAGAGUGCAAGCGUUAAUCGGAAUUACUGGGCGUAAAGGGUGCGCAGGCGGUACUGUAAGUCAGAUGUGAAAUCCCCGGGCUUAACCUGGGAACUGCGUUUGAAACUACAAGGCUAG
RNAcentral lists this ribosomal RNA (465 nucleotides) under uncultured ammonia-oxidizing beta proteobacterium. RNAcentral describes it as "bacterial SSU rRNA". It matches the Rfam family "Bacterial small subunit ribosomal RNA", at positions 198 to 644 of the family's 1533-position model. Lineage: Bacteria; Pseudomonadati; Pseudomonadota; Betaproteobacteria. The record is from RNAcentral.